This 253-nucleotide ribosomal RNA is filed under the name uncultured bacterium. Its description in RNAcentral is "partial 16S ribosomal RNA". It matches the Rfam family "Bacterial small subunit ribosomal RNA", at positions 524 to 776 of the family's 1533-position model. The record is from RNAcentral.
UACGGAGGGGGCUAGCGUUGUUCGGAAUUACUGGGCGUAAAGCGCACGUAGGCGGCUUUGCAAGUUAGAGGUGAAAGCCCGGGGCUCAACUGCGGAAUUGCCUUUAAAACUGCAUCGCUAGAAUUGUGGAGAGGUAAGUGGAAUUCCGAGUGUAGAGGUGAAAUUCGUAGAUAUUCGGAAGAACACCAGUGGCGAAGGCGACUUACUGGACACAUAUUGACGCUGAGGUGCGAAAGCGUGGGGAGCAAACAGG